Molecule: small nucleolar RNA, 132 nt
Filed under: Periophthalmus magnuspinnatus
Lineage: Eukaryota; Metazoa; Chordata; Actinopteri; Gobiiformes; Gobiidae
Description: Small nucleolar RNA SNORA24 (ENSPMGG00000006059.1)
Source: RNAcentral
GUCCACGUUACCAUGGGAACUGUUUUGUUCAAUGACAUGCUCCCUUCCUAGGCGUGGAAAAGAAACCUGCUUUUAUUCACAUAGAUGCUCAUGCUCCUUUCAUGAGUGGCAUAUAUGGAAGAAGAAACAUUA